UCGAAUGUGGUGUAGGCGCAAUCCCGCUGUAUAUUCAUCGCCCCUAAAUGUCUGCGGAAGCCUGGGUUCGAUUCCCGGCAUUUGAA
This is a non-coding RNA of Mycena capillaripes, 86 nucleotides long. NCBI's taxonomy places the organism in Eukaryota, Fungi, Basidiomycota, Agaricomycetes, Agaricales, Mycenaceae. The record is from the annotation of a GenBank genome assembly.